Molecule: ribosomal RNA, 582 nt
Filed under: Kalbionora palaeotropica
Lineage: Eukaryota; Fungi; Ascomycota; Lecanoromycetes; Lecanorales; Malmideaceae
Description: SSU rRNA
Rfam family: Bacterial small subunit ribosomal RNA
Source: RNAcentral
UAGUCUAACGAGUGAACCAGCAACUAGAAGGAACGAAAAACAAUUAUGUUGUAUAAAGUUCUAGAUAAAAUUAAAUAAUGAUUUUUUUUAUCUAUAGUCUUGUCUAAAUUACGUGCCAGCAGACGCGGUAAUACGUAGAAGACUAGUGUUAUUCAUCUUUAUUGGGUUUAAAGGGUCCCUAGACAGAAAACCAAGCCAUAAAGGGACUAGUAUUCUAGAGUUUUAUAAAAGAAAAUGGAAUUUAUAGAGGAGAGUUGAUAUUCAGUUAUACUAUAAGGACCGGUAACUGCGAAGGCAAUUUUCUAUGUAAAAACAGACGUUGAGGGACGAAGCCUAGGGUAGCGAUAAGGAUUAGAGACCCUAAUAGUCCUAGGAGAAAAUUAUAAAGGCCAUAAGCUAGAUAAACAUAUUUAGCAUAUAAAUGAAAGUGUAAGCAUUUCACCUCAUGAGUAGGUUGGCAACACUGAAAUUGAAACCAUUAGACCGUUUCUGAAACCAGUUAUGAAGUAUGCUAUUUAAUUCGAUGAUCCGCGAAUAAUCUUACCACAAUUUGAAUAUUUUUACAAGCGCUGCACGGCUGUC